RNAcentral lists this ribosomal RNA (713 nucleotides) under uncultured fungus. RNAcentral describes it as "LSU rRNA". It matches the Rfam family "Eukaryotic large subunit ribosomal RNA", at positions 67 to 633 of the family's 3401-position model. The record is from RNAcentral. Lineage: Eukaryota; Fungi.
AAAAAUGAUCCCUANUACUGCGAGUGAAGAGGGACAGCUCAAAUUUUAAAUCCAUCGGGUUUUACCUGAUCGAGUUGUAAUUUGAAGAAGCGUUUUCUGCGUAUUUGGUCAGCCUAAGUCCUAUUGAAUGAGGCAUCAUGGAGGGUGAUAAUCCCGUCCGGUUGAUCAUUUGCGUUUUACGAUACGCUUUCUAAGAGUCAAGUUGUUUGGGAUUGCAGCUUAAAAUGGGAGGUAAAUUUCUCCUAAGGCUAAAUAACGGCGAGAGACCGAUAGCGAACAAGUACCGUGAGGGAAAGAUGAAAAGAACUUUGAAAAGAGAGUUAAACAGUACGUGAAAUUGUUGAAAGGGAAACGAUUGAAGCCAGUCGUACCUUCGGGUAAUCAGCCUUUCGGGUGCGAUUCUGUGGAGUUUGAGGAGCUUAACACCUUCAUGCUUUGCAUAUUCGUGCUCUUGGGUGUACUUGCCCGUGUGGUUGGUUAACAUCAAUUUCGGGCACCAUAAAAUGGCUGGAGGAAUGUAGCUUCGAUCCUGUAUUGAAGUGUUAUAGCCUUCGGUAGAUGUGGUGAUCGAGAUUGAGGAUUGCAACGGAUACCUUUCGGGGCUACCUGUCUGAUCUCUGAUCGUUGCUUUGGUGCUGAAAGCGUGCUUAUAGUUAUCAAAGUCGAUGGUCAAUAGGUUANAAUGGGUUAAAUUCGUNAAGGAUGUNGACGUA